AACGAACGCUGGCGGCGUGGAUUAGGCAUGCAAGUCGAGCGCGAAAGGGUAGCAAUAUCCGAGUAGAGCGGCGAACUGGUUAGUAACAGGUGGGCAACGUGCCCUAAAGUUGGGGAUAACUCCGAGAAAUCGGAGCUAAUACCGAAUGUGGCCGUUUGGGCUUCGGCUCGAACGGUUAAAGGCUUCGGUCGCUUUAGGAUCGGCCCG
RNAcentral lists this ribosomal RNA (207 nucleotides) under uncultured bacterium. RNAcentral's name for it is "partial 16S ribosomal RNA". It matches the Rfam family "Bacterial small subunit ribosomal RNA", at positions 29 to 233 of the family's 1533-position model. The record is from RNAcentral.